RNAcentral lists this unclassified non-coding RNA (348 nucleotides) under soil metagenome. RNAcentral describes it as "partial contains 5.8S ribosomal RNA, internal transcribed spacer 2, and large subunit ribosomal RNA". The stretch from base 1 to 120 matches the Rfam family "5.8S ribosomal RNA", at positions 35 to 154 of the family's 154-position model. The record is from RNAcentral.
GAUGAAGAACGUAGCGAAAUGCGAUAAGUAAUGUGAAUUGCAGAAUUCAGUGAAUCAUCGAGUCUUUGAACGCACAUUGCGCCCCCUGGUAUUCCGGGGGGCAUGCCUGUCCGAGCGUCAUUGCUGCCCUCAAGCACGGCUUGUGUGUUGGGCCCCGCCCCCCGGCUCCCGGGGGGCGGGCCCGAAAGGCAGCGGCGGCACCGCGUCCGGUCCUCGAGCGUAUGGGGCUUCGUCACCCGCUCCGUAGGCCCGGCCGGCGCCCGCCGGCGACCCCCCUCAAUCUUUCCAGGUUGACCUCGGAUCAGGUAGGGAUACCCGCUGAACUUAAGCAUAUCAAUAAGCGGAGGA